AGUGAACGCUGGCGGUAGGCCUAACACAUGCAAGUCGAACGGCAGCACAGGAGAGCUUGCUCUCUGGGUGGCGAGUGGCGGACGGGCGAGGAAUACAUCGGAAUCUACUUUUUCGUGGGGGAUAACGUAGGGAAACUUACGCUAAUACCGCAUACGACCUACGGGUGAAAGCAGGGGACCUUCGGGCCUUGCGCGAUUGAAUGAGCCGAUGUCGGAUUAGCUAGUUGGCGGGGUAAAGGCCCACCAAGGCGACGAUCCGUAGCUGGUCUGAGAGGAUGAUCAGCCACACUGGAACUGAGACACGGUCCAGACUCCUACGGGAGGCAGCAGUGGGGAAUAUUGGACAAUGGGCGUAAGCCUGAUCCAGCCAUACCGCGUGGGUGAAGAAGGCCUUCGGGUUGUAAAGCCCUUUUGUUGGGAAAGAAAUCCAGCUGGCUAAUACCCGGUUGGGAUGACGGUACCCAAAGAAUAAGCACCGGCUAACUUCGUGCCAGCCGCCGCAGUAA
RNAcentral lists this ribosomal RNA (506 nucleotides) under uncultured bacterium. Its description in RNAcentral is "partial 16S ribosomal RNA". It matches the Rfam family "Bacterial small subunit ribosomal RNA", at positions 29 to 523 of the family's 1533-position model. The record is from RNAcentral.